UACAGAGGGUGCGAGCGUUGUUCGGAAUUAUUGGGCGUAAAGGGCGCGUAGGCGGUGCGGUAAGUCACCUGUGAAAUCUCCUGGCUCAACUGGGAGCUUGCAGGCGAAACUGUCGUGCUGGAGUGUGGGAGAGGUGCGUGGAAUUCCUGGUGUAGCGGUGAAAUGCGCAGAUAUCAGGAGGAACACCGGUGGCGAAGGCGGGUCUCUGGGCCGUAACUGACGCUGAGGAGCGAAAGCGUGGGGAGCGAACAGG
RNAcentral lists this ribosomal RNA (253 nucleotides) under uncultured bacterium. Its description in RNAcentral is "partial 16S ribosomal RNA". It matches the Rfam family "Bacterial small subunit ribosomal RNA", at positions 524 to 776 of the family's 1533-position model. The record is from RNAcentral.